RNAcentral lists this transfer RNA (74 nucleotides) under Candidatus Woesearchaeota archaeon. RNAcentral's name for it is "tRNA-Thr". It matches the Rfam family "tRNA". Rfam says of the family: Transfer RNA (tRNA) molecules are approximately 80 nucleotides in length. Their secondary structure includes four short double-helical elements and three loops (D, anti-codon, and T loops). Lineage: Archaea; Nanobdellati; Candidatus Woesearchaeota. The record is from RNAcentral.
GCUUCGGUAGCAUAGUCUGGUAAUGCGUCUGCCUCGUAAGCAGAAGAUCGAGAGUUCAAAUCUCUCCCGGGGCU